This 253-nucleotide ribosomal RNA is filed under the name uncultured bacterium. RNAcentral describes it as "partial 16S ribosomal RNA". It matches the Rfam family "Bacterial small subunit ribosomal RNA", at positions 524 to 776 of the family's 1533-position model. The record is from RNAcentral.
UACGAAGGGGGCUAGCGUUGUUCGGAAUGACUGGGCGUAAAGGGCGCGUAGGCGGCGAUGUAAGUCGGGUGUGAAAUCUCGGGGCUUAACUCCGAAACUGCAUUCGAUACUGCCGUGCUUGAGGACUGGAGAGGAGACUGGAAUUUACGGUGUAGCGGUGAAAUGCGUAGAUAUCGUAAGGAAGACCAGUGGCGAAGGCGGGUCUCUGGACAGUUCCUGACGCUGAGGCACGAAGGCCAGGGGAGCAAACGGG